CCCGCGGAGCCGGGGCCACGUCCCGGUGGAGUCCCCGUGGGACCGGCCCCGUUCGCACAAAGCGCCGCAGUUUGGCCAAGAAGGGAGGGAGCCGGCCACGAAAUAAAUAAAUAAAAACAGAGUCGGGUCUACGUAACGCCCUGUCGAAAGCGGACGCCAUAUUUUUUUGUGGCUUAUGUCGACAUAGGGAAACGUAGACAUGUUUUUCCUCCUCCUCCUCCUCCUCGGUCUGCCUCCCAUUUAUCCAAACUUGUAAUCAAAACUCUUUAAAAAAAAAUCUCCCCCCGCCUCUGGAUCCUCUGAUUUCCUCCCACCCGCAAAAAAGAGCCUGCACCCCACCCCCCCUUCCGCGCCCCCCUUCCAAUCACAAACCCGGCCAAGUCCCAUUAACAACACAUUUUCGGGAGCCGCGGCGGCGGCGGCGGCGGUGGGAAAGUUGGGCUGGAGUGGCCGGUGCCCGGCGUGCGGGGCUCGGGGCCGGCCGCGCCGGGCGGGGGGUGCUCCGCGCCGGGGCGAAGUUUCUUACCUGCGCCGGGGCUGGGAACGCGGGGACCCGGGCUGGGAACGUGGAGACGCGGCACGGGCGUUCCAAAAUGGAACUCUGCUGGCUCCCCCCACCCACUCCCCACUCCUCACCGGGCGCCCGGCUCGGGCUCCGUGGGAAAGAGGGGGAAAGCCAGCCUGCCAGACAGACAGACAGAAGAAGCCCCCGUACGGAGAACAGUGGCCAAAAUUUUUAAAAGAAAAAAAAAAAAAGAAGGAAAAAAAAAGGGGAAAAAAAUGUCUCGAUCAGUGGGGAAUCUACGCCAAAACCCACAUGAUCUGUAACGUCAGCAUGCGUAUUUGCAUACGAUACCACCACCCGAGCUGCCACCCGGGCUCGGGUUCCGCAGAAAGUUACAAAGUGAAAUUCAGCCCCCUCCGGAGACGCCGGCGAAAUGUCAUUUUCAGCGUUAUAUCACCUGUUACCAUUGCCGCUGGUACCACUACCAUCUCCACCAUCCUCACCUCCAUCGCCUCCACCACUGCUGCGGCCACCAUCACCAGCACCACCAUCACCACCAUUCUUAUCGUUGUCAUCUUUAUCUCCAUCGCACAAGCCAGUUUCACAUAG
Molecule: long non-coding RNA, 1114 nt
Filed under: Sus scrofa (pig)
Lineage: Eukaryota; Metazoa; Chordata; Mammalia; Artiodactyla; Suidae
Description: lncRNA (ENSSSCG00015044743.1)
Source: RNAcentral